GCCAAGAUAGCUCAGUCGGUAGAGCGGUACACUCGUAAUGUACAGGUCUGGAGUUCGAUUCUCCAUCUUGGCU
This 73-nucleotide transfer RNA is filed under the name Treponema sp. Its description in RNAcentral is "tRNA-Thr". It matches the Rfam family "tRNA". Rfam says of the family: Transfer RNA (tRNA) molecules are approximately 80 nucleotides in length. Their secondary structure includes four short double-helical elements and three loops (D, anti-codon, and T loops). The record is from RNAcentral. Lineage: Bacteria; Pseudomonadati; Spirochaetota; Spirochaetia; Treponematales; Treponemataceae.